Molecule: ribosomal RNA, 458 nt
Filed under: uncultured bacterium
Lineage: Bacteria
Description: bacterial SSU rRNA
Rfam family: Bacterial small subunit ribosomal RNA
Source: RNAcentral
AGGACGAACGCUGGCGGCGUGCUUAACACAUGCAAGUCGAACGGGCGUAGCGAUACGUCAGUGGCGGACGGGUGAGUAACGCGUGAACAAUCUGCCUCAUACAGGGGGAUAACACUGAGAAAUCAGUGCUAAUACCGCAUAAGACCACAAGAUCGCAUGGUUUAGUGGUAAAAGGGAUUACCGGUAUGAGAUGAGUUCGCGUCCCAUUAGGUAGUUGGCGGGGUAACGGCCCACCAAGCCUGCGAUGGGUAGCCGACCUGAGAGGGUGGCCGGCCACACUGGAACUGAGACACGGUCCAGACUCCUACGGGAGGCAGCAGUGGGGAAUAUUGGGCAAUGGAGGAAACUCUGACCCAGCAACGCCGCGUGAGUGAAGAAGGUCUUCGGAUUGUAAAGCUCUGUGGGCAGGGAAGAAGACAGUGACAGUACCUGCACAGCAAGCCACGGCCAACUACGUG